AUUGAACGCUGGCGGCAUGCCUUACACAUGCAAGUCGAACGGUAACAGGUCUUCGGAUGCUGACGAGUGGCGCACGGGUGAGUAAUACAUCGGAACGUGCCCGACCGUGGGGGAUAACGCAGCGAAAGCUGUGCUAAUACCGCAUACGAUCUACGGAUGAAAGCGGGGGAUCGCAAGACCUCGCGCGGACGGAGCGGCCGAUGGCAGAUUAGGUAGUUGGUGGGAUAAAAGCUUACCAAGCCGACGAUCUGUAGCUGGUCUGAGAGGACGACCAGCCACACUGGGACUGAGACACGGCCCAGACUCCUACGGGAGGCAGCAGUGGGGAAUUUUGGACAAUGGGCGCAAGCCUGAUCCAGCCAUGCCGCGUGCAGGAUGAAGGCCUUCGGGUUGUAAACUGCUUUUGUACGGAACGAAAAAGCUCUCUCUAAUACAGGGGGUGAAUGACGGUACCGUAAGAAUAAGCACCGGCUAACUACGUG
This 482-nucleotide ribosomal RNA is filed under the name uncultured bacterium. RNAcentral's name for it is "partial 16S ribosomal RNA". It matches the Rfam family "Bacterial small subunit ribosomal RNA", at positions 30 to 507 of the family's 1533-position model. The record is from RNAcentral.